Molecule: ribosomal RNA, 571 nt
Filed under: uncultured bacterium
Lineage: Bacteria
Description: partial 16S ribosomal RNA
Rfam family: Bacterial small subunit ribosomal RNA
Source: RNAcentral
UGGGGAAUUUUGGACAAUGGGCGAAAGCCUGAUCCAGCAAUGCCGCGUGUGUGAAGAAGGCCUUCGGGUUGUAAAGCACUUUUGUCCGGAAAGAAAUCCUUGGCUCUAAUACAGUCGGGGGAUGACGGUACCGGAAGAAUAAGCACCGGCUAACUACGUGCCAGCAGCCGCGGUAAUACGUAGGGUGCAAGCGUUAAUCGGAAUUACUGGGCGUAAAGCGUGCGCAGGCGGUUUGCUAAGACCGAUGUGAAAUCCCCGGGCUCAACCUGGGAACUGCAUUGGUGACUGGCAGGCUAGAGUAUGGCAGAGGGGGGUAGAAUUCCACGUGUAGCAGUGAAAUGCGUAGAGAUGUGGAGGAAUACCGAUGGCGAAGGCAGCCCCCUGGGCCAAUACUGACGCUCAUGCACGAAAGCGUGGGGAGCAAACAGGAUUAGAUACCCUGGUAGUCCACGCCCUAAACGAUGUCAACUAGUUGUUGGGGAUUCAUUCCUUAGUAACGUAGCUAACGCGUGAAGUUGACCGCCUGGGGAGUACGGUCGCAAGAUUAAAACUUAAAGGAAUUGACGGGGUC